This 66-nucleotide transfer RNA is filed under the name Lucinella divaricata. Its description in RNAcentral is "tRNA-Ala". Lineage: Eukaryota; Metazoa; Mollusca; Bivalvia; Lucinida; Lucinidae. The record is from RNAcentral.
GCGCUGUACUUUAAGUAAAAGGUAUGGUUUGCGUCCAUAAAAUGUAGAAAAUUUUACCGGUGCUAU